Molecule: ribosomal RNA, 1437 nt
Filed under: uncultured organism
Description: 16S ribosomal RNA
Rfam family: Bacterial small subunit ribosomal RNA
Source: RNAcentral
GCGGCGUGCUUAACACAUGCAAGUCGAACGGAAAGGCCCUGCUUUUGUGGGGUGCUCGAGUGGCGAACGGGUGAGUAACACGUGAGUAACCUGCCCUUGACUUUGGGAUAACUUCAGGAAACUGGGGCUAAUACCGGAUAGGAGCUCCUGCUGCAUGGUGGGGGUUGGAAAGUUUCGGCGGUUGGGGAUGGACUCGCGGCUUAUCAGCUUGUUGGUGGGGUAGUGGCUUACCAAGGCUUUGACGGGUAGCCGGCCUGAGAGGGUGACCGGCCACAUUGGGACUGAGAUACGGCCCAGACUCCUACGGGAGGCAGCAGUGGGGAAUAUUGCACAAUGGGCGGAAGCCUGAUGCAGCAACGCCGCGUGCGGGAUGACGGCCUUCGGGUUGUAAACCGCUUUCGCCUGUGACGAAGCGUGAGUGACGGUAAUGGGUAAAGAAGCACCGGCUAACUACGUGCCAGCAGCCGCGGUGAUACGUAGGGUGCGAGCGUUGUCCGGAUUUAUUGGGCGUAAAGGGCUCGUAGGUGGUUGAUCGCGUCGGAAGUGUAAUCUUGGGGCUUAACCCUGAGCGUGCUUUCGAUACGGGUUGACUUGAGGAAGGUAGGGGAGAAUGGAAUUCCUGGUGGAGCGGUGGAAUGCGCAGAUAUCAGGAGGAACACCAGUGGCGAAGGCGGUUCUCUGGGCCUUUCCUGACGCUGAGGAACGAAAGCGUGGGGAGCGAACAGGCUUAGAUACCCUGGUAGUCCACGCUGUAAACGGUGGGUACUAGGUGUGGGGUCCAUUCCACGGGUUCCGUGCCGUAGCUAACGCUUUAAGUACCCCGCCUGGGGAGUGCGGCCGCAAGGCUAAAACUCAAAGGAAUUGACGGGGCCCCGCACAAGCGGCGGAGCAUGCGGAUUAAUUCGAUGCAACGCGUAGAACCUUACCUGGGUUUGACAUGGAUCGGGAGUGCUCAGAGAUGGGUGUGCCUCUUUUGGGGUCGGUUCACAGGUGGUGCAUGCCUGUCGUCAGCUCGUGUCGUGAGAUGUUGGGUUAAGUCCCGCAACGAGCGCAACCCUUGUUCACUGUUGCCAGCACGUUAUGGUGGGGACUCAGUGGAGACCGCCGGGGUCAACUCGGAGGAAGGUGGGGAUGACGUCAAGUCCUCAUGCCCCUUAUGUCCAGGGCUUCACGCAUGCUACAAUGGCUGGUACAGAGAGUGGCGAGCCUGUGAGGGUGAGCGAAUCUCGGAAAGCCGGUCUCAGUUCGGAUUGGGGUCUGCAACUCGACCUCAUGAAGUCGGAGUCGCUAGUAAUCGCAGAUCAGCAACGCUGCGGUGAAUACGUUCCCGGGGCUUGUACACACCGCCCGUCAAGUCAUGAAAGUUGGUAACACCCGAAGCCGGUGGCCUAACCGUUGUGGGGGAGCCGUCGAAGGUGGGACUGGUGAUUAGGACUA